UCAUGAUUUACAUUUGAGUGAGUGGCGAACUGGUGAGUAACACGUGGGAAACCUGCCCAGAAGCGGGGGAUAACACCUGGAAACAGAUGCUAAUACCGCAUAACAACUUGGACCGCAUGGUCCGAGCUUGAAAGAUGGCUUCGGCUAUCACUUUUGGAUGGUCCCGCGGCGUAUUAGCUAGAUGGUGGGGUAACGGCUCACCAUGGCAAUGAUACGUAGCCGACCUGAGAGGGUAAUCGGCCACAUUGGGACUGAGACACGGCCCAAACUCCUACGGGAGGCAGCAGUAGGGAAUCUUCCACAAUGGACGAAAGUCUGAUGGAGCAACGCCGCGUGAGUGAAGAAGGGUUUCGGCUCGUAAAACUCUGUUGUUAAAGAAGAACAUAUCUGAGAGUAACUGUUCAGGUAUUGACGGUAUUUAACCAGAAAGCCACGGCUAACUACGUGCCAGCAGCCGCGGUAAUACGUAGGUGGCAAGCGUUGUCCGGAUUUAUUGGGCGUAAAGCGAGCGCAGGCGGUUUUUUAAGUCUGAUGUGAAAGCCUUCGGCUCAACCGAAGAAGUGCAUCGGAAACUGGGAAACUUGAGUGCAGAAGAGGACAGUGGAACUCCAUGUGUAGCGGUGAAAUGCGUAGAUAUAUGGAAGAACACCAGUGGCGAAGGCGGCUGUCUGGUCUGUAACUGACGCUGAGGCUCGAAAGUAUGGGUAGCAAACAGGAUUAGAUACCCUGGUAGUCCAUACCGUAAACGAUGAAUGCUAAGUGUUGGAGGGUUUCCGCCCUUCAGUGCUGCAGCUAACGCAUUAAGCAUUCCGCCUGGGGAGUACGGCCGCAAGGCUGAAACUCAAAGGAAUUGACGGGGGCCCGCACAAGCGGUGGAGCAUGUGGUUUAAUUCGAAGCUACGCGAAGAACCUUACCAGGUCUUGACAUACUAUGCAAAUCUAAGAGAUUAGACGUUCCCUUCGGGGACAUGGAUACAGGUGGUGCAUGGUUGUCGUCAGCUCGUGUCGUGAGAUGUUGGGUUAAGUCCCGCAACGAGCGCAACCCUUAUUAUCAGUUGCCAGCAUUAAGUUGGGCACUCUGGUGAGACUGCCGGUGACAAACCGGAGGAAGGUGGGGAUGACGUCAAAUCAUCAUGCCCCUUAUGACCUGGGCUACACACGUGCUACAAUGGAUGGUACAACGAGUUGCGAACUCGCGAGAGUAAGCUAAUCUCUUAAAGCCAUUCUCAGUUCGGAUUGUAGGCUGCAACUCGCCUACAUGAAGUCGGAAUCGCU
This 1275-nucleotide ribosomal RNA is filed under the name Lactiplantibacillus plantarum. RNAcentral describes it as "bacterial SSU rRNA". It matches the Rfam family "Bacterial small subunit ribosomal RNA", at positions 72 to 1336 of the family's 1533-position model. Lineage: Bacteria; Bacillati; Bacillota; Bacilli; Lactobacillales; Lactobacillaceae. The record is from RNAcentral.